Molecule: transfer-messenger RNA, 410 nt
Filed under: Bacteroidota bacterium
Lineage: Bacteria; Pseudomonadati; Bacteroidota
Description: Bacteroidetes bacterium (activated sludge metagenome) transfer-messenger RNA
Rfam family: transfer-messenger RNA
About the family: Bacterial tmRNA, also known as 10Sa RNA or SsrA, is named for its dual tRNA and mRNA-like properties. Its role is to liberate the mRNA from a stalled ribosome.
Source: RNAcentral
GGGGGUGCAUUGGAUUCGACGGGGGGCGGAUGCUCCGAGCGUCGCGAUCCGGGUGGUGUAUGGAACAUCCGUAAACAAGACCAUACGCGGCUUAACCGCCGACUAUAGCUAUGCAAUGGCUGCCUAAGCUCCGCGUCCUUGCGACGCGUUGACGCUGCUAGACUCACUAUGUGAGUCGGGUGCCCAUCCGCAACACCGCUUAGAACGAACCGGUGUUGAUCACGGGUGUCGCAUGUUCGGUCUCUCCUGCAGGAGCGUUGUUCGCCUGCGGGAGUAUCGCAGGAACGACGGUACUUGGAUGUCGGUGGCCUCUUGCUUUGGCGCCGAGUACUAAUCAACAAGAGGCUACGAUCGUAGAAGCGCCGGGACAUGCUUUUCGGACAGGGGUUCAAUUCCCCUCACCUCCACUU